CAAUAAUGUCAAAUUUUAUUUAAUUUUAGAUAAAUGCGGAAUAAAUGGAAAUGGAUUGACAUAAUUCAAAGGAUUAAAAAUCAAGAAAGUUUUGCCUAUAAUAGUUAAGUUUUUUUAAUAAUAAACGAUAUGUAGAUGUUCAGCUGAUAUAGAAUUAGAAAAUUUAUAGUUCUAUUAUAGAUAUAUUCAGUUAAAAUAUCACAUAAAAGUGUUGUCAUUAGCUGUUCAAAUAUAUAUGAUGUAUGGUAUUGAGAUGUUACUUUGUAUGAAUAAAGAGGAGCUACUUGAUAAAAAAGAGAAACAAAUCAAUGAAGAUUUAGUCGAAGUAGAAGAAAAAUAUUUUGAUGAAGACUUAAUCGAGACAAAAAUAAAGUUAUGAUAGUUUGUGAUGUCGGAUUUUAUUAAUAGUUCUAUUAAAGUAAUAUUCAGUCAAAACAUUACAAAAUAAUGUAGGUACAAUAGUUUCUAAAAUGAAGCAAAAAUAUUAUCGAUACUAAAUGUAUUAUGGUAAAAGAAGAUAAUUGUUAAUUUAUGCAUGGAUGGAUAGCUGAAAGGUGGAUUAGUUGUUUAUUUAACGGGAUCGAUUAAUUUAAAUUGAGAAGACGAUGGAUUUUUACGGAUAUAGAUAUAAUUAGUUAUAACAUGGAAGAAGAAUUAUGUAUGUUAUUAGCAGGUUUUCAAUCAAUUUGUUUACUUUUAAAUAAAUUAAUAAUAUUGGAUGCUUGAUAUAGAGAAAACUGUAAAAACAUUGUAAAUUUUUAAAAUAUGACAAUAGAAGAACAUUUAUAUCGGAAGAGAAAUUGGAAAUUAUUUUUAUUAAAAUAUAUGGAAAAUGGACGUUUUAAAAUGAAUUUUGGAUUAAAAGAAGAAAUUAAUGUUAUUUAAUAGAAAAAAUAUGUAAAUACUUACCGUGUUUAUUGAAUAAAUUUUAGUGAUAAAUUUAGGGAAGAAGUAAUAAGGGGAGGAAAAUAUUGAAUAAAAAUUAAAUCAUAUUUUAAUAUUAUAUGGAUACAUAAUGAUUGUAGUAUACUAUAAUAAUUGAAAAAAAAUGGCUUAACAUUAAAAUGACUUUUAAAGGAAAAAAAGGAUAGCAAUUACUAUAAUUAUAUGUAGAUCAAGGAGAUAUAGAAGAAUCAAGAAGAUAUAGAAAUUUUAAAAUAACAAGAGAAGCAAAUAUAUAGUAAUGGAGAUAUGAGAAAAUAUUAUAUUUAUAAAUGUAUUAGAAUGGAGCAUAAUAUAAUAAUUGGAUUAUAAUAAAUAUGAAAUAAUAAAGUGAUACUAUGAAACAGUUAUAUUUUUAACUAUGUAAAAAUGGAUUUAUUUCGAAUAUAAGGAUACUUUUUUGUGGUAAGAAAAAACAAUGAUGUAAAAUUUGUGGAAUAUUUUAUUUUAAUAGAAUAAUUAUAAUGAUUACAUUUAUUAUAUAUUAUAUGUUAAAAGGAAAUGUAAUAA
Molecule: long non-coding RNA, 1452 nt
Filed under: Sitophilus oryzae (rice weevil)
Lineage: Eukaryota; Metazoa; Arthropoda; Insecta; Coleoptera; Curculionidae
Description: uncharacterized LOC115884679, transcript variant X1
Source: RNAcentral